RNAcentral lists this ribosomal RNA (710 nucleotides) under Phaeobacter sp. RNAcentral describes it as "bacterial SSU rRNA". It matches the Rfam family "Bacterial small subunit ribosomal RNA", at positions 50 to 806 of the family's 1533-position model. The record is from RNAcentral. Lineage: Bacteria; Pseudomonadati; Pseudomonadota; Alphaproteobacteria; Rhodobacterales; Roseobacteraceae.
AACACAUGCAAGUCGAGCGCACUCUUCGGAGUGAGCGGCGGACGGGUUAGUAACGCGUGGGAACGUGCCCUUCUCUAAGGAAUAGCCACUGGAAACGGUGAGUAAUACCUUAUACGCCCUUCGGGGGAAAGAUUUAUCGGAGAAGGAUCGGCCCGCGUUAGAUUAGAUAGUUGGUGGGGUAAUGGCCUACCAAGUCUACGAUCUAUAGCUGGUUUUAGAGGAUGAUCAGCAACACUGGGACUGAGACACGGCCCAGACUCCUACGGGAGGCAGCAGUGGGGAAUCUUGGACAAUGGGCGCAAGCCUGAUCCAGCCAUGCCGCGUGAGUGAUGAAGGCCUUAGGGUCGUAAAGCUCUUUCGCCAGAGAUGAUAAUGACAGUAUCUGGUAAAGAAACCCCGGCUAACUCCGUGCCAGCAGCCGCGGUAAUACGGAGGGGGUUAGCGUUGUUCGGAAUUACUGGGCGUAAAGCGCACGUAGGCGGAUCAGAAAGUAUAGGGUGAAAUCCCAGGGCUCAACCCUGGAACUGCCUUGUAAACUCCUGGUCUUGAGUUCGAGAGAGGUGAGUGGAAUUCCGAGUGUAGAGGUGAAAUUCGUAGAUAUUCGGAGGAACACCAGUGGCGAAGGCGGCUCACUGGCUCGAUACUGACGCUGAGGUGCGAAAGUGUGGGGAGCAAACAGGAUUAGAUACCCUGGUAGUCCACACCGUAAA